CAGUCGCCGCGGUAAUACGUAGGUGGCAGGCGUUGUCCGGAAUUAUUGGGCGUAAAGGGCUCGCAGGCGGUUUCUUAAGUCUGAUGUGAAAGCCCCCGGCUCAACCGGGGAGGGUCAUUGGAAACUGGGAAACUUGAGUGCAGAAGAGGAGAGUGGAAUUCCACGUGUAGCGGUGAAAUGCGUAGAGAUGUGGAGGAACACCAGUGGCGAAGGCGACUCUCUGGUCUGUAACUGACGCUGAGGAGCGAAAGCGUGGGGAGCGAACAGGAUUAGAUACCCCCGUAGUCCCUGUCUCUUAUAC
This 301-nucleotide ribosomal RNA is filed under the name uncultured bacterium. RNAcentral describes it as "partial 16S ribosomal RNA". It matches the Rfam family "Bacterial small subunit ribosomal RNA", at positions 509 to 807 of the family's 1533-position model. The record is from RNAcentral.